CCAGGAGGUGGGGGAUUUUCCUUCCGUUUCUGUUCCUGCUGCAAUACGCAUUUCCUGCAAGUCUGUAAUUGCUGGAAGCUGUUGCUAACAGUGAACUGACUGUGCUCCCAAUCCAGUCUCACCAGGGCUCAAAGCUACCAGCUGCACCCCACUGGGGAGGGCAUGACAAACAGGAGGCUGGGAGAACACAGCAAGCCAAGCAGCAUCUGGAGGAAAGGAGCAGUCAACGUUUCGGGACUCCUCCUGAGUGUGAUCUUCUGCAAAGGUUUUACAAUUGCUUGGCCCGCACAGAGACUGCUCUCCAACUCUGGAAACUCAGAUAAUAAGCUGUGAAAAUGGAACUGGACAUAAACGUGACCAAUUGCUGCACAACGAGUGGCUUCUUUGUAUUGCCGUGUCAUCGCCUCACCUAAACUGAUUAGAUCAUAGAAUCCCUAGAGUGUGGAAGCAGUCCAUUUGGCCCAUCGAGUCCACACUGACCCUGCAA
This is a long non-coding RNA of Rhincodon typus (whale shark), 487 nucleotides long. RefSeq lists it as uncharacterized. The transcript is spliced from 3 exons. The record is from RefSeq and is a predicted model, not a curated record. Lineage: Eukaryota; Metazoa; Chordata; Chondrichthyes; Orectolobiformes; Rhincodontidae.